Molecule: long non-coding RNA, 203 nt
Filed under: Lathyrus oleraceus (garden pea)
Lineage: Eukaryota; Viridiplantae; Streptophyta; Magnoliopsida; Fabales; Fabaceae
Description: Pisum sativum (pea) long non-coding RNA (PSAT_LNC024797)
Source: RNAcentral
UUCCCAUCUUUGUUUAUUCUUUCUGCUUAUUGUUUCAGUUGUGAAUUUUAAUGGUGUACUUUGGUUAAUUUUUUGUUCAAUGUUGGUUGUUUUUAUUUCUUUAGACUUAUGCUUUGACACUUCUUGUGCCCGUGUUUUCUUGUAUUUUUAUGUGGGCUUUAGCCUUUUAUUUAUAUAUUAUUUCACCAUUACCAAAAAUAGAA